ACCUCUCCCCAAUGCUUCCUAGGCCUCCCUCUACCCCGCCGACCACCAACAAUCUCCAGCCGCUCGCAGCUCCUCACCGGGGCAUCGGGACCCCUCCCACAGUGAGACUUUUUUUCGCAGAUAAUUUAGGCUAGAAGUAUGCAAGCAGAGUUCUUUCCUUUCUUGAAUUAUUCGGAAAGAGUUUUAAGUUAUUUACACGUGAAUUUUUACAUUGUUACUUGUUAGAAAUAUUAAUUCUUCUAUGACUUCUACACAUUUUCAGAAAACACUUGAAAUGCAAGCUUGUUAUCGCAAG
Molecule: long non-coding RNA, 295 nt
Filed under: Nicotiana benthamiana
Lineage: Eukaryota; Viridiplantae; Streptophyta; Magnoliopsida; Solanales; Solanaceae
Description: long non-coding RNA (NBEN_LNC008762)
Source: RNAcentral